Pelobates cultripes (western spadefoot toad) is the source of this 237-nucleotide non-coding RNA. Lineage: Eukaryota; Metazoa; Chordata; Amphibia; Anura; Pelobatidae. The record is from the annotation of a GenBank genome assembly.
GGCAUAAUUUGCAGUACACUGCAACUCUUUUUAUUCACAGUGUAUUUGUAGAUGUAUCAAUUCUUUUUGCAGUCAUGGGUAAAAUAUCUGUAAAAGUAGAUAAAAGAUUAAUUAAUUCAAAUUGUGAAGGAUAGCAUAAAAUCUAGCCUAAUAAAAGUUAGUGAGGCGAACAUAGAGUCCAUUUGGGUUAAGUUAGAAUUUGGUAAUCACACAGUAACUCGUGUAGGUAUGAUUUAC